RNAcentral lists this ribosomal RNA (532 nucleotides) under uncultured bacterium. RNAcentral describes it as "bacterial SSU rRNA". It matches the Rfam family "Bacterial small subunit ribosomal RNA", at positions 94 to 630 of the family's 1533-position model. The record is from RNAcentral.
CACGGCGCACGGGUGCGUAACACGUGGGCAAUCUGCCCUCCGAUGGGGAAUAACCCCGCGAAAGCGGGGCUAAUUCCGCAUAACAUUCCUUGGACUUAGGUUUGAGGAUUCAAAGCACCAAUGCGUCGGAGGAGGAGCCCGCGCCCGAUUAGCUAGUUGGUGAGGUAACGGCUCACCAAGGCAAUGAUCGGUAGCUGGUCUGAGAGGAUGAUCAGCCACACUGGAACUGAGACACGGUCCAGACUCCUACGGGAGGCAGCAGUGGGGAAUCUUGCACAAUGGGCGAAAGCCUGAUGCACCGACGCCGCGUGGGGGAUGAAGCUUCUCGGAGUGUAAACCCCUUUCGACUGGGACGAAUGCCCGCAAGGGAGUGACGGUACCAGUAGAAGAAGCCCCGGCUAACUACGUGCCAGCAGCCGCGGUAAGACGUAGGGGGCCAGCGUUGUUCGGAAUUACUGGGUGUAAAGGGUUCGUAGGCGGUGUGGCAAGUUGGGAGUGAAAUCUCUGGGCUCAACCCAGAGGCUGCUUCCAA